UCCCUGGUAGCUCAGCGGUAGAGCAGGUGACUGUUAAUCACCGGGUCGGCGGUUCGAGCCCGUCCCAGGGAGCCA
This 75-nucleotide transfer RNA is filed under the name Alphaproteobacteria bacterium. RNAcentral describes it as "tRNA-Asn". It matches the Rfam family "tRNA". Rfam says of the family: Transfer RNA (tRNA) molecules are approximately 80 nucleotides in length. Their secondary structure includes four short double-helical elements and three loops (D, anti-codon, and T loops). Further hydrogen bonds mediate the characteristic L-shaped molecular structure. tRNAs have two regions of fundamental functional importance: the anti-codon, which is responsible for specific mRNA codon recognition, and the 3' end, to which the tRNAs corresponding amino acid is attached (by aminoacyl-tRNA synthetases). tRNAs cope with the degeneracy of the genetic code in two manners: having more than one tRNA (with a specific anti-codon) for a particular amino acid; and 'wobble' base-pairing, i.e. permitting non-standard base-pairing at the 3rd anti-codon position. The record is from RNAcentral. Lineage: Bacteria; Pseudomonadati; Pseudomonadota; Alphaproteobacteria.